This 465-nucleotide ribosomal RNA is filed under the name uncultured bacterium. RNAcentral's name for it is "partial 16S ribosomal RNA". It matches the Rfam family "Bacterial small subunit ribosomal RNA", at positions 338 to 795 of the family's 1533-position model. The record is from RNAcentral.
CCUACGGGAGGCUGCAGUGGGGAAUAUUGCGCAAUGGGCGAAAGCCUGACGCAGCGACGCCGCGUGAGUGAUGAAGGUCUUCGGAUCGUAAACCUCUGUCAGCAGGGAAGAACGGUCACUGUGCUAAUCAGCAGUGAAUUGACGGUACCUGCAAAGGAAGCGCCGGCUAACUCCGUGCAAGCAGCCGCGGUAAUACGGAGGGUGCGAGCGUUAAUCGGAAUUACUGGGCGUAAAGCGCUCGUAGGCGGUAUGUCAAGUCAAGGGUGAAAUCCCCGGGCUCAACGAGGGAACUGCCUUGGAAACUGGGAAACUGGAGUGUGUGAGAGGUUAGUGGAAUUCCAGGUGUAGGGGUGAAAUCCGUAGAUAUCUGGAGGAACAUCAGUGGCGAAGGCGACUAUCUGGAACAUAACUGACGCUGAGGAGCGAAAGCGUGGGUAGCAAACAGGAUUAGAUACCCUGGUAGUC